UUGGAUCACCAGUGAGUGGCGGACGGGUGAGUAACACGUAGGUAACCUGCCCCGGAGCGGGGGAUAACAUUUGGAAACAGAUGCUAAUACCGCAUAACAACAAAAGCCACAUGGCUUUUGUUUGAAAGAUGGCUUUGGCUAUCACUCUGGGAUGGACCUGCGGUGCAUUAGCUAGUUGGUAAGGUAACGGCUUACCAAGGCGAUGAUGCAUAGCCGAGUUGAGAGACUGAUCGGCCACAAUGGAACUGAGACACGGUCCAUACUCCUACGGGAGGCAGCAGUAGGGAAUCUUCCACAAUGGGCGCAAGCCUGAUGGAGCAACACCGCGUGAGUGAAGAAGGGUUUCGGCUCGUAAAGCUCUGUUGUUGGAGAAGAACGUGCGUGAGAGUAACUGUUCACGCAGUGACGGUAUCCAACCAGAAAGUCACGGCUAACUACGUGCCAGCAGCCGCGGUAAUACGUAGGUGGCAAGCGUUAUCCGGAUUUAUUGGGCGUAAAGCGAGCGCAGGCGGUUGCUUAGGUCUGAUGUGAAAGCCUUCGGCUUAACCGAAGAAGUGCAUCGGAAACCGGGCGACUUGAGUGCAGAAGAGGACAGUGGAACUCCAUGUGUAGCGGUGGAAUGCGUAGAUAUAUGGAAGAACACCAGUGGCGAAGGCGGCUGUCUGGUCUGCAACUGACGCUGAGGCUCGAAAGCAUGGGUAGCGAACAGGAUUAGAUACCCUGGUAGUCCAUGCCGUAAACGAUGAGUGCUAGGGUGUUGGAGGGUUUCCGCCCUUCAGUGCCGGAGCUAACGCAUUAAGCACUCCGCCUGGGGAGUACGACCGCAAGGUUGAAACUCAAAGGAAUUGACGGGGGCCCGCACAAGCGGUGGAGCAUGUGGUUUAAUUCGAAGCUACGCGAAGAACCUUACCAGGUCUUGACAUCUUGCGCUAACCUUAGAGAUAAGGCGUUCCCUUCGGGGACGCAAUGACAGGUGGUGCAUGGUCGUCGUCAGCUCGUGUCGUGAGAUGUUGGGUUAAGUCCCGCAACGAGCGCAACCCUUGUUACUAGUUGCCAGCAUUAAGUUGGGCACUCUAGUGAGACUGCAGGUGACAAACCGGAGGAAGGUGGGGACGACGUCAGAUCAUCAUGCCCCUUAUGACCUGGGCUACACACGUGCUACAAUGGACGGUACAACGAGUCGCAAGCUCGCGAGAGUAAGCUAAUCUCUUAAAGCCGUUCUCAGUUCGGACUGUAGGCUGCAACUCGCCUACACGAAGUCGGAAUCGCUAGUAAUCGCGGAUCAGCAUGCCGCGGUGAAUACGUUCCCGGGCCUUGCACACACCGCCCGUCA
This 1333-nucleotide ribosomal RNA is filed under the name uncultured bacterium. RNAcentral describes it as "bacterial SSU rRNA". It matches the Rfam family "Bacterial small subunit ribosomal RNA", at positions 80 to 1399 of the family's 1533-position model. The record is from RNAcentral.